Molecule: ribosomal RNA, 123 nt
Filed under: Chinchilla lanigera (long-tailed chinchilla)
Lineage: Eukaryota; Metazoa; Chordata; Mammalia; Rodentia; Chinchillidae
Source: RNAcentral
UAUGGCCAUGCCACCCUGAACACGCCCGAUCUCAUCUGAUCUUGUAAGCUAAGCAGGGUCGGGCCUGGUUAGCACUUGGAUGGGAGACAGCUAAGCUAGAGAAAGAUAAGGUAGUGGGCAUAC